AUUGAACGCUGGCGGCAGGCCUAACACAUGCAAGUCGAGCGGAUGAAGGGAGCUUGCUCCUGGAUUCAGCGGCGGACGGGUGAGUAAUGCCUAGGAAUCUGCCUGGUAGUGGGGGAUAACGUCCGGAAACGGGCGCUAAUACCGCAUACGUCCUGAGGGUGAAAGUGGGGGAUCUUCGGACCUCACGCUAUCAGAUGAGCCUAGGUCGGAUUAGCUAGUUGGUGGGGUAAAGGCCUACCAAGGCGACGAUCCGUAACUGGUCUGAGAGGAUGAUCAGUCACACUGGAACUGAGACACGGUCCAGACUCCUACGGGAGGCAGCAGUGGGGAAUAUUGGACAAUGGGCGAAAGCCUGAUCCAGCCAUGCCGCGUGUGUGAAGAAGGUCUUCGGAUUGUAAAGCACUUUAAGUUGGGAGGAAGGGCAGUAAGUUAAUACCUUGCUGUUUUGACGGUACCAACAGAAUAAGCACCGGCUAACUUCGUG
This 484-nucleotide ribosomal RNA is filed under the name uncultured bacterium. Its description in RNAcentral is "partial 16S ribosomal RNA". It matches the Rfam family "Bacterial small subunit ribosomal RNA", at positions 30 to 507 of the family's 1533-position model. The record is from RNAcentral.